This 406-nucleotide ribosomal RNA is filed under the name uncultured bacterium. Its description in RNAcentral is "partial 16S ribosomal RNA". It matches the Rfam family "Bacterial small subunit ribosomal RNA", at positions 28 to 526 of the family's 1533-position model. The record is from RNAcentral.
GAUGAACGCUAGCUACAGGCUUAACACAUGCAAGUCGAGGGACCGGCGCACGGGUGAGUAACACGUAUCCAACCUUCCCUUUACUCGGGGAUAGCCUUUCGAAAGAAAGAUUAAUACCCGAUAUAAAGGAUGGGGAUGCGUUCCAUUAGGUUGUUGGUGAGGUAACGGCUCACCAAGCAUUCGAUGGAUAGGGGUUCUGAGAGCAAGGUCCCUGACAUUGUAACUGAGACACGGACCAAACUGCGACGGGAGGCAGCAGUGAGGGAGAGUGGUAAAAGGGCGCUGGCCUGAACCAGCCGAGUAGCGUGAAGGAUGAAGGCUUAUGGGGCGUAAACUGCUGUUAUAUAAGAAUAUGUAUUAGAUGAAUAAGGAUCGGCUAGCUCCGUGCCAGCAGCCGCGGUAAUUC